Paenibacillus sabinae T27 is the source of this 171-nucleotide non-coding RNA. The record is from Rfam. NCBI's taxonomy places the organism in Bacteria, Bacillati, Bacillota, Bacilli, Caryophanales, Paenibacillaceae.
UCUGAUGUGAGGCAGAAUCUGAAGGAAGCUGGAGGAAAAUGCACGGUCCAAGGUACACGAACCCAAUUUGAGGCAGUGCCAGCCGGAUGAGCUGCCUACACACAACGAAGUCCGAAGCCGCCAAGGGCUGACGUUGUAAACUUGGGUGAUCGCGGUCAGACAGAUGACGUU